AAUGAACGCUGGCGGCGCGCCUAAUACAUGCAAGUCGAGCGAGAAGACGUAGCAAUACGUUUGUAAAGCGGCGAACGGGUGAGGAAUACAUGGGUAACCUACCCUCGAGUGGGGAAUAACUAGCCGAAAGGUUAGCUAAUACCGCGUACGCUUCUUGGACUUCGGUUCAGGGAGGAAAGCGAUGCCGAGGGUAUCGCGCUCUUGGAUGGGCUCAUGUCCUAUCAGCUUGUUGGGAGGUAACGGCUCACCAAGGCUUCGACGGGUAGCUGGUCUGAGAGGACGAUCAGUCACACUGGCACUGCGACACGGGCCAGACUCCUACGGGAGGCAGCAGUAAGGAAUAUUGCGCAAUGGGGCGAAAGCCUGACGCAGCGACGCCGCGUGGGGGAUGAAGGUCUUCGGAUU
This 405-nucleotide ribosomal RNA is filed under the name uncultured bacterium. RNAcentral's name for it is "bacterial SSU rRNA". It matches the Rfam family "Bacterial small subunit ribosomal RNA", at positions 29 to 424 of the family's 1533-position model. The record is from RNAcentral.